Long non-coding RNA from Mustela erminea (ermine), 102 nucleotides. RefSeq lists it as uncharacterized. The transcript is spliced from 3 exons. Lineage: Eukaryota; Metazoa; Chordata; Mammalia; Carnivora; Mustelidae. The record is from RefSeq and is a predicted model, not a curated record.
GCAUGAUUUUUUUCUAUGAAUUGAAAAAUAUCUGACAUAUAACACUAUGUAAUUUAAGGUUUACAACAUGUUAAUUUGAUACAUUCAUAUAUUGUAAUAUGA